AGGACGAACGCUGGCGGCGUGCCUAACACAUGCAAGUCGAACGGGGAUUUGUUUCGGCAGAAUCCUAGUGGCGAACGGGUGAGUAACGCGUAGGCAACCUGCCCUCCGGCCGGGGACAACACUCCGAAAGGGGUGCUAAUACCGGAUACGAAGUCUGUGCCGCAUGGUACGGAUUUGAAAGAUGGCCUCUAUUUAUAAGCUAUCGCCGGGGGAUGGGCCUGCGUCCGAUUAGCUGGUUGGUGGGGUAACGGCCUACCAAGGCGACGAUCGGUAGCCGGUCUGAGAGGAUGAACGGCCACAUUGGGACUGAGACACGGCCCAGACUCCUACGGGAGGCAGCAGUGGGGAAUCUUCCGCAAUGGGCGCAAGCCUGACGGAGCAACGCCGCGUGAGUGAGGAAGUUCUUCGGAACGUAAAGCUCUGUUGUUCCUGACGAACCUCCCUUCUAUCAACAACGGAGGGGACUGACGGUAGGGAACGAGGAAGCCACGGCUAACUACGUGCCAGCAGCCGC
This 514-nucleotide ribosomal RNA is filed under the name uncultured bacterium. RNAcentral's name for it is "bacterial SSU rRNA". It matches the Rfam family "Bacterial small subunit ribosomal RNA", at positions 26 to 518 of the family's 1533-position model. The record is from RNAcentral.